Long non-coding RNA from Carassius gibelio (silver crucian carp), 2240 nucleotides. RefSeq lists it as uncharacterized. The record is from RefSeq and is a predicted model, not a curated record. NCBI's taxonomy places the organism in Eukaryota, Metazoa, Chordata, Actinopteri, Cypriniformes, Cyprinidae. The transcript has 5 exons.
UUCCUAUGUAGGCAAAAAAAAAACAAAUAAAAACAUUGUAGGUUUUCUUUUAUGAAUAAAUUUUAAUCUUACUUAACCCCGUAAGACCCACUGUUUCAGUAUUACAACAUUUGUGGUUACUCCCCAAAACCCCUUUUAUCUUUUUUUUUAUUGUUUGUUUGUUUAUACAACCACAUCAAUAUGAUCUGUGGGUCCUACAUUUUAUUCCCACCAUGUAAUUGGAUCCAGGAUUUGUAUACAAAGCCCACCCUUAAGUCAAGAAGUGGCACAUCUUACAACUUUCUGAUGAAGCAACAUCCCUUUGAUUUACUGGACUGGAUUCAUCUUCAAGUCUUUUGCAAGAGACACCUGGCCACACCUGGCCAAUCCUCCAAGUUGUGCGGGAUGCUCCUGGUGCUUUGUUCUGGCACAGGUGUAAAUGUUCAUCACUGUUAGAUUUUGUUGUAAACUGGAUGCUGAAUGCAUUCCUGUAAGGAUUACAAUCACAGUCUACUAUAGAAUGCCACCAGCAAGGAGAAAUCCUCGGUACAAUGUGCACAAUGUUAAUGGCCAUCAUCCAAAAAGGAGAAAGUGAUGUGGACAUCGAUUUUGACGACACUGAUGCAAGUGAUGAAGAAUCAGAUAUUGAUGUCUCAUGUGGACAAAGAAAACCAAGAACCUACCGAUUGUCCAGCUAAUGUGAAUAUUGAGCCCGGGCAAUCAAAGAAAUACAUCAAGCCAUAUGACAGACGUCACUGAUUUCUCUGGUCAAGCUCUCACAGAUGAUGUCACCUCCCUCCACACACCACUGCAAUACUUCCAAAAGUUUGUGUCAGAAGAUUUGGUUCAAGCUCUGGCAACAAAUACGAAUGAGUACAGCAUUCAAAAUGACGAAAGAUCAGUCAACACUAAUACAAAAGAAAUACAGGCAGCAUUGGGUAUGUACCUGAGGAUGGAACAUUACAUUUUGUAAACAAUUUAACCAUGCCAGAGACUGAAAAGAGGGACAAACUCUGGAAACUCAGACCACGGCUUGAUUCACUCAGAGAAAACUGCCUGCAGGUGGUACCAGAAGAGCACAUUCCAUGGACAAGAUGAUGAUACCCUUCAACGGGAAGUUCAGCAGCAUCAAGAAGUAUAUGCAAGGUAAUCUACACUCAUGAGGCUUUAAAGUAUGGGUGAAAGCUGGAAUCUCAGGGUGUCAGGUGAUGACAGGUGAAUUGUCAGGUGAUGUUGUAAUGAAGCUUGCCUCCACAUUUCCAAAGGGUCAACACAACAAGAUCUAGGCAGAUAAUUACUUCACCUCCGUUCCACUGGUAGUGAAGCUCCUUGAGCAAGGAAUCCAUUAUGUGGGAAAGGCCAGGCAAGUGCAUCUACCCAUCUAACUGUAACAUUUACAUGUGAAGAGCUUGAAGAAGAAGGGCAGAGGAAGCUUUGACCACAGAGUGGAGGGGAAACAACAUCUGUGCAGUAAAAAUGGUACAACAACAGGGCGGUGACACUUGUGUCAUCCUUCGCUGGACCAGAACCUGUUCAGGAGAUUCAACACUGGGACAAAGCCGCCAAAACCUACAUUGACGUUAGAAAGGCUUCCAUUGUGGGCAUCUACAAUAAAUACAUGGGAGGUGUGGAUUUGUUGGACUCAUUUACAGCAAAACACAAGUAUGCACUGAAAUCCUGGCGGUGGUACAUGUACAUCUUCUGGCACACAAUCACCCUUGCUGUAGUCAACGCCUGGCUCCUCUACAAGCAGCACAGCCUAUGCUCUCAGAAUGCCAAAGAAGGAGAUACUGAACAUGAGAAAGUUCGAAGCACAGCUGGCUUCCUCUCUCAUUACGAGGACAGGAACCAUUUCUGGGAUUACCACUAUAAGUAAAGGUGGACUUCACGCUGAGCACACAGAUUUCAGUGGAGAGUGAGAGAACACUGCAGACAUUGCACUGUUAACAAUCUUGAUGGGCACCUCUUCGGACCUGACGUGCUACCCAGCUACGCAAACGCAGCUAAGUGGAUGUACUCUCUUGUGAUUGGCCAGAGUGAUCACGAGUCUACGGAUGUUUGGGUCUCAUUGCUGAAAGAGUGCAUGAAUCGGUGGAAAAACCCCAGCCCCCCUGUGCUGCCAGCUUCUCCAAGCCCCGUGCUCCCUCUUUUGCCAAAACCACCCUGAGAACGACCAACAACUGGCUGAAGGAAGAGCUGCAACAGGUUAACGAAAGGCAGAAAGCAACGAAGGAGUGCCUGCUCAGAUGCAUUCUGUUUAG